Molecule: long non-coding RNA, 7436 nt
Filed under: Homo sapiens (human)
Lineage: Eukaryota; Metazoa; Chordata; Mammalia; Primates; Hominidae
Description: HSALNT0351044
Source: RNAcentral
GGUGCAGUCCAGCUCCACGGUCGCGCGUCCCACAGCUCCCUUCACGUCCGUUCCUCCGUUUCCCCACCUUGGGAGGGCCAGGACUUCCGAGGCUUUAGGGGGCAGGAAGCUGCGAGAAGGUGGCGCUUGCUUAGGUGAGGCGCGGAGGAUGGUAUUAGAGAGAGGAACGUGACUGGAAGCUCCCUGGCCAUGGACGAUCGCUGGGUUCUAGGCGCCUGCUCGCCCCAGCGGUUGACGGUCACGUGAUACCCCCCAGUGUACCUUUCCUGCAGCGUGUUACGUGGCGCACAGAGAACGUCGCUUCCAGAGGACCGUUUUUUCGUAACUGGCAGUAGUAAUCUGGCGGUUGACACUCUCGUUGCCUGUAUAGGCUGAUGGCCCACUCACCUUUUUAGCUGGGCUCCUGACCUGUCCGGCCAGAAAGUUGCCACUGGGAAACCUGGACCCCUACUGAAUGGAUCUGCUGGCACCUAGACCUCAGAGAAGGGGGAACUGAAGACUGAAGUCUGACCACUGUUCUUUGUUGAAAAUUUCUUUCUCAGGGGCUUGGAGGGAUCACAUCUACAAUCCUGAGCUAAUAUUCUCUUCUGCUGUCCCCAAAAUUUAAACGAAGCUUCUCUUAACCCAUUGCAAAUGAGAAAAAUCUUUGAAUCUACCUAUGACUAUAAGCCCUUAUUUCAAGAUAUCCUGCCUUUUUAGGCCAGAACCAAAGUGUAACCUCCAUCUAUUGAUUUACAAUUUUGCCUGUAACUUUGGCUUUCCUGAAAUUUACCCCAGCCUUAAAAAAAAAAAAGAACAGAAAAAGAAAACUGCAAGGCAUCAGGGAGGUCAGAAUUUGGGCAUGAGCUGCCUGAUCCUCCUUGCUUUGCAUCUUUGCAAAUAGAUGCCUUCAGCUGUGCAUGAUGGCUCACACCUCUCAUCCCAGCACUUUGGGAGGGCAAGGCGGGAGGAUUGCUCCAUCCCAGGAGUUCGAGAUCAGGGGCAAAAUGCCGAAACCCUGUCUCUACAAAAAAUUAAAAAAUUAGCUGGGCAUGAUGGUGCACUUCUGUAGUCCCAGCUACUUGGGAGGCUGAGGCAGGGGGAUUGCUUGAGCCCAAGAGGUUGAGGCUACAUGAGCCAUCAUCGUGCCACUGCACUCCAGCCUGGGAAACAGAAUGAGACCCUGUCUCAAAACAAAACAUUUGAAAAAUAACAAGUUCAGGUGCAGUGGCUCAUACCUGUAAUCCCAGCACUUUGGGAGGCCAAAGUGGUCGGAUCACUUGAGGCCAGGAGUUCAUGACCAGCCUGGCCAACAUGGCAAAACCCCAUCUCUACUAAAAAUACAAAAAUUAGCUGGGUGUGGUGGCUGGCAACUCUAGUCCCAGCUACUCCGGAGGCUGAGGCAGGAAAAUCACUUGAACCCAGGAGGCGGAGGUUGAAGUGAGCCGAGAUCACACCACUGCACUCCAGCCUGGGCAACAGAGCAAGACUCUGUCUCCAAAAAUAACAAAAAAUAAAUACAUGCCUUCCUUUCUACUGCUGCACAACCUCACUGUGUCAGGCAGGCUGGAGUGCAAUGGUGCGAUCUCGGCUCACUGCAACCUCGGCUCUCUGCAACCUCUGCCUCCUGGGUUCAAGUGAUUCUUCUGCCUCAGACUCCCAAGUAGCUGGGAUUACAGGCAUGUGCUACCACUCCCGGAUUAUUUUCUAUUUUUAGUACAGACCAGGUUUCUCCAUGUUGGUCAGACUGGUCUCAAACUCCCUACCUCAAGUGAUCUGCCCACCUCGGCCUCCCAAAGUGCUGGGAUUAAAGGCGUGAGUCACCACCCCUGGCCUUAUAGUUUAUCUUCUAGUGGUCUUCUAUCCUCAUUUGAAAAUGUGAAAAGUGGGUACCUGAGAUAAUUCACCGACUCAUUGUUUCUUGGAACCACAAUUGAUCUCAGAAGUGUAACCCUGUACUACUGAGAAGCUUAAUCAAGGACAAAUACAAUCCCCUCACUCCACAGAUGGCUGACAUGAUGGUCUGUGACCUGAAAGUUGUUGAAUAGUUGGAGUGUUCUGCAUUCAUGUGGAAGAGGCUAAAGGAUGUUUGAUGAAGCACUAUGGGCUGCCCUGGAAGAGGACUGAAGAAGCAGCUGCAGGAAAGAAACGUCCACUCUGCUCCAGUCAACCCCACUGCUGGUGUCCUCUGCACUGCCUUGCACUCCCUGAAGAGAGCCUGGGCAACAGAGCGAGACUCCAUCUCAAAAAAAAAAAAAAAAAAAAUUGGGGACUAUGUAUAUAGAUUUACUACACUGAAGCCCUCCAGCAGUCUAAGAACUGAUGCCUCUAACGAAGGAAAGGACUGCAUGUUUCUGAUGAAGCUACCAUGACCUACCAGAUUUCCAACGCCUGCCAAAAUUAAUCUAUUUGUCUGUGGUAGAAGAGGCCAUACCAUUGUGGCCCUUGAAACUUACUGUAUGAUGUUUUAUUUAGUGAACAGUUCACAUACCCAAAUGGUUGUAACUGAUACUGCUGAAUAUAUUGUAAGAACAGAAGUGUUAAGUAUGUAUAACACUUCUUUUGAUUGUAAGGAAUGUUCCCAGUGGGGAAAUGCCAUAAUUAAAACAGUGAUCGUGGGAUGAAUACAUGAUUAAGAGCUUACCUUCAUAAUAGUAAAACAGUACAGGAUGCCAGAAGGAAGGGAGGAGAGGGGAUAAUACUACUAUACUGAUGAAGUAGCUAGAAGAAAGAGGAGUGCUUAAGGAAACUAUCCAGCAGGCUAUUCAGACUGACCUCUCAUUUGGAACAGUUCUAAUGAGCCUUUUCAGCUACAAGUGAUGGUGACUGACAGUUACACUGAUUGGAGCCUGUGGCAAUAGGCAGUAAGUGCCAUUUAGGGUUUUGGGCACAGCAUUUGCCUGACACCGCUGCCUGGUAUACUCCAUUUAAGCAGCAAUUGUUGGCUUGUUAGUGAGUGCUUUUGGACACUUAGACACUAACAAAGAAAGCAUCAGCAGGUAUUGUUAUAUUCUGACAUGUCCAUUCUUGGAUGGAUCAAAAAUGAAAACAUCAACAAAGAAGGUAAUGCUCAGCGAGCAUCCAUUAUUUAAUGGAAAUGGUAUAUCCAAGAAAGAAGUAAACUGGACAUAUUAUUAUUAUUGUUAUUAUUAUUAUUAUUUUUGAGACGGAUACUUGUUCUGUCGCCCAGGCUGGAGUGCAGUGGCACGAUCUCGGCUCACUGCAACCUCUGUCUCCCAGGUUCAAGCCAUUCUCCUGCCUCAGCCUCCCGAGCAGCUGGUACUACAGGCACGCACCACAACGCCCAGCUAAUUUUUGUAUUUUUAGUAGAGAUGGGGUUUCACCAUGUUGUACAGGAUGAUCUCGAUCUCUUGACCUCGUGAUCUGCCCACCUCGGCCUCCCAAAGUGCUGGGAUUAUAGGUGUGAGCCACAGUGUCCGGCCUCUGGGUGUAUUACUUUCUUAUUGCCACUAUUACAAAUUUAGUGACUUAAAAUGACAUAAAUUUAUUGUCUUGCAGUUCUGAAAGAAGUCCAAAAUGAGUUUCACUGGGCUGAAAUCAAGGUGUUGGCAGGACUGCACUCCCUCCAGAGGCUCUGGGGGAGGAUCGGUUUCCUUGCCUUUUCCAGUUUCUAGAGGCUCUCCUCAUUCCUUGGGUCAUGACACCUUCCUCACAUUGUUUCAAUCUCUUGCUUUCAUCAUCACAUCUCCUACUUCCUCUUCUGGAGUCAAAUCUCUCUCUGCCUUUUUGUUUUAAAAAAUCUAAUGUGAUCCCCUUAUCCUUGAGGGAGAUCGAGGCCGAGGCCACUGUGACAAUGUUCCACCAGGUAGCAUGUUGCAGGGGUAGAGCGCAGUGUGUUUGGAGAUGGUGCAGGAGGGACGACUUUAACUUGCAGCAACUGAGGGUGAACACAUUGGGCUCUUGCUGGAGUGCAUCUAGUGUGUGUGUGUGUGUCUUUCUCUGUUUCCACUCGAGUAUCAGAGACUUGCUUAUAACCUUUAUGAUAUUUUUCUGGAUAGUGGUAAUUGCCUUGUAUAAUGUUUCUUUUGCUGAAUAAUUUUCCAUCUUCUCUGUCGUAUGUCACAGAUUCUCUCUUUUUUAUUUUUAUUUUUAUUUUUUGAGAUGGAGUUUUGCUCUUGUUGCCCAGGCUGGAGUGCAAUGGCACGAUCUUGGCUCACUGCAACCUCUGUCUCCCCGGAUCAAGCAAUUCUCCUGCCUCAGCCUCCCAAGUAGCUGGGAUUACAGGCACCUGCCACCACAUCUGGCUACUUUUAAAAAUAUUUUUAGUAGAGAUUGGGUUUCUUUCUUUUCUUUUCUUUUCUUUUCUUUUUUUUUUUUUUUUGAGACAGAGUCUGGAUCUGUUGCCCAGGCUGGAGUGCAGUGGUGCGAUCUCGGCUCACUGCAACCUCCACCUCCGUGGUUCAAGCAAUUCCCCUGCUUCAGCCUCCCAAGUAGCUGGGAUUACAGGCAACUGCCACCACACCUAGCUACUUUAAAAAAUAUUUUUAGUAGAGAUGGGGUUUCUUUCUUUUCUUUUCUUUCUUUAUUUUUUUUUUUUUGAGACAGAGUCUCGAUCUGUUGCCCAGGCUGGAGUGCAGUGGCGCGAUCUCGGCUCACUGCAACCUCCACCUCCCUGGUUCAAGCAAUUCCCCUGCUUCAGCCUCCCAAGUAGCUGGGAUUACAGGUGCACACCACCACACCUAGCUAAUUUUUUUAUAUAUUUAAUGGAGAUGGGGUUUCGCCGUCGCGGCCAGACUGGUCUCAAACUCCUCAGGCAAUCCGCCUGCCUCAGCCUCCCAAAGUGCUGGGAUUACAGGCGUGAGCCACCACAACCGGCCAGAUUCUCUUUUUAAAACUGGUCAGCCCCUCAAACCAGAAUAGGUUCAGAGAGACUUCCGAGAUUCUCUAUUUGUCUGAAGUGUAAAUGUUUUGAAGGUUUUCUCGACUGACUCAAUGUGAUCAAGAAUCUCUAAUAGUUUGUGUCCCCCUGACACUGCUCGCUCAGUCAGUCCCACUGUCAGCAAGUUCUCUUUCCCUGUCCUUCUGGCCAGCUAAGUCAGUGAUGACACAUCUGGCUAUCACCAGCUCAAAGCUGUCUCCUCAACCACUUUUACCAGGGAAUGAAUGCUUCAAGACCACAGUGCUCUCCUGCCUUGGAAACACCUUCGCCUUCCUCCGCUUCUCUUUGGCUACCAUGGUCACCCUCCACACUGCUUUCCUCAACUCUCGGGCAGGUGGUCCCAUCAAUACCUCCUCCUCCUCCAAGGUUACCUCCCAAGGUGCCAUUCAUCACUGACAAUCAUGUUUGCACUACUAAAAGAAUUGCCUUAAUCUUUUUAUCCAUUUUUGGGUUUUUGGGGGUUUUCUUGAGACGGAGUCUUGCUCUGUCUCCUAGGCUGGAGUGCAGUGGCUCAAUCUGGGCUCACUGCAAGCUUUGCCUCCCAGGUUCAAGCAAUUCUCCUCCUUCAGCCUCCUGAGUAGCUGGGAUUACAGGCAUACGCCACCACGCCUGGCUAAUUUUGUAUUUUUAGUAGAGAUAGGAUUUCGCCAUGUUGGCCAGGCUGGUCUCAAACUCCUGACCUCAUGUGGUCCUCCUGCCUCAACCUCCCAAAGUGCUGGGAUUAUAGGCAUGAGCCACUGCAUCUGGCCCGAUUCUUUAUAUUUGUAAAAAGCGUACUGUACUUCAAUAUAUUCAAAAUUAGACUAUUAUUUAGAAGUAUAUCAAUUUGCAGCCAGGGCAGUGGCUCACGCCUGUCCUUUACACAUAUAAGAUGGUAAUACACGGCCGGGCACAGUGGCUUGUGCCUGUAAUCCCAGAACUUUGGAAGGCCGAGGUGGGUGGAUCACCUGAGGUCAGGAGUUCGAGACCAGACUGGCCAACAUGGAGAAACCCCGUCUCUACUAAAAAUACAAAAAUUAGCCAGGUGUGGUGGUGGGCUCCUGUAAUCCCAGCUACUUGGGAGGCUGAGGCAGGAGAAUCCCUUGAACCUGCGAGGUAGAGGUUGUAGUGAGCCGAAAUUGCACCAUUGCACUCUAGCCUGGGCAACAAGAGCGAAACUUUGUAUCAUUAAAUAAAUAAAUAAAAGGAAAGGCCGGCGCGGUGGCUCAUGCCUGUAGUCCCAGCACUUUGGGAGGCCGAGGCGGGCAGAUCACGAGGUCAGGAGAUUGAGACCAUCCUGGCUAACACGGUGAAACUCAGUCUCUACUAAAAUAAAAAAAAAACUUGUACUAGUGUUGUAACUUUCCAAGUAAAAGUAUCCCUAAAGGCCACUUCCUAUCUGAUUUUUCCCAGUAAAUGAGGCAGGCAAUUCUAAGAUCUUCCACAAAACAUCUAGCCAUCUAAAAUGGAGAGAUGAAUCAUUCUACCUAUACAAACAAGCUAGCUAUUAGAGGGUGGUUGGGGUAUGCUACUCAUAAGAUUUCAGGGUGUCUUCCAACUGAAAUCUCAAUGUUCUCAGUAUGAAAAACCUGAAAUCACAUGCCUAUGUAAGGAAAGUGCUAUUCACCCAGUAAACCCCAAAAAGCAAAUGGAUAAUGCUGGCCAUUUUGCCUUUCUGACAUUUCCUUGGGAAUCUGCAAGAACCUCCCCUUUCCCCUCCCCCAAUAAGACCGUUUAAGUGUGUGUUAAACCACUACAGAAUACUAAAUAAAAAGUUUGGCCAAAACCAACCAUGAAGCUGCAAAAAAAAAAAAAAAAAAAAAAAAAAAAGUGUUAUACACUUGUAAUUUUAUGAAUGCUAUGGGAACCAUCCCAAUCAGGGACAGCUGCAAAGAAAAAGUGUUAGUGGGAUACAUAAAUAAUUGCUUCUUGCCAUUGGUGGGUGGGUUCGUAUUUAAAUUCUCUGAGUAUUAAAAACCAAGUAUUCUUGGCCGGAUGUGGUGGCUCACGCCUGUAAUCCCAGCACUUUGGGAGGCCAAGGCGGGUGGAUCACAAGGUCAGGAGUUUGAGACCAGCCUGGCCAACAUGGUGAAACUCUGUCUUUACUAAAAGUACAAAAAUUAGCUGGGCACAGUGGAACGCGCCUGAAAUCCCCACUACUCAGGAGGCUGAGGCAGGAGAAUUGCUUAAACUCAGGAGGCAGAGGUUUCAGUGAACUGAGAUCACGCCACUGCACUCCAGCCCGGGCAAGCAAGACUCCUACUCUGAAAAAACAAACAAACAAAAAACGAAGUAUUCUUGGCCGGGCUCAGUGGCUCAUGCCUGUAAUACCAGCACUUUGGGAGGCAGAGGCGGGCGGAUCACGAGGUCAGGAGUUCGAGACCAGCCUGACCAACAUGGGGAAACCCCAUCUCUACUAAAAAUUACAAAAAUUAGCCAGGGAUGGUGGCGCAUGCCUAUAAUCCCAGCUACUCAGGAGGCUGAGGCAGGAGAAUCGCCUGAACCCGGGAAGCAGAGGUUGCAGUGAGCCAAGAUUGUACCACCACACUCCAGCCUAGGUGACAGAGCGAGACUCCAU